CUUCAACGACGUUUUGAACGUCAUGGAGCAUAUGAGAUGUUCCAGGAGUUGAAGUUAAUAUUUCAAGCAAAUGCCCGGAUUGAGAGAUAUGAAGUCUCCAAUAAGUUCUAUAGCUGCAAGAUGGAGGAUAACAGUUCUGUCAGUGAGCAUAUACUCAAAAUGUCUGGGUAUAAUAAUCACUUGAUUCAAUUGGGAGUUAAUCUUCCGGAUGAUUGCGUCAUCGACAGAAUUCUCCAAUCACUGCCACCAAGCUACAAGAGCUUCGUAAUGAACUAUAAUAUGCAAGGGAUGAACAAGACUAUUCCCGAGCUCUUCGCAAUACUGAAAGCUGCGGAGGUAGAAAUCAAGAAGGAGCAUCAAGUGUUGAUGGUUAACAAGACCACUAGUUUCAAGAAA
This 396-nucleotide ribosomal RNA is filed under the name Triticum aestivum (bread wheat). RNAcentral describes it as "partial small subunit ribosomal RNA". The record is from RNAcentral. Lineage: Eukaryota; Viridiplantae; Streptophyta; Magnoliopsida; Poales; Poaceae.